UUCUCGUUCCUGCUGCUGAGGAUUCUUCUUUACCAGUUUUAACAGGAAUGAGUGUUUAUGUGAACAUCUCUUGAGAGACCCACACUGUGGAAGAUACUUACAAGACUGGGUUAUAUUUCUGGAAGAGCAAAUUCAUCUCUUGUCUCUCCAGAAGACUGACUUAUUCCCCCACAUUUAUCCCAGACAAGAAAAUGACUCAGUAUUUCAUUCAAGCUAAAUUUGAGCAGAACUAAGUUCCUUUUCAGGAACCCUCCCCAGCUUCUCUGAUGAGCACUUGUCAUGUUUGGAGAAACUGCCCACCUGAAGCAAAUAAAAACUUACAACACUGGACAUCUUUGAUGCAGCCCCAGAUAAAUGUUGUGCUGGGAUUUCUUGGAGAGCAGGUAUCCUGGGAGUAUACAGCAGCCUUGUCUCCAAGGAAAGACAUGCAGGAAGCACUGAGAG
Long non-coding RNA from Homo sapiens (human), 444 nucleotides. RefSeq lists it as uncharacterized. The record is from RefSeq and is a predicted model, not a curated record. The transcript is spliced from 4 exons. Lineage: Eukaryota; Metazoa; Chordata; Mammalia; Primates; Hominidae.